GCUUCCGAGGGGACAACGGACUGAGGAGACGGUGUUACCUCAGGGGGAACACAGGGAUUCGGCCACCUAGCGCGCAUGCGUACGGCGUGAGGACCGGAGAGGGGGCGCCACUACGCAUGCCCAUCAGUUUACGCAGGGGGAGAAGAGCCCAGAGCAAAGGCUCCGGCCAUGCUGAUCAGCGGGAACAGCCUGCACACAGGACCCCACCCAGCAAGAUCCGCCUCCAGCCGAAGUUACGGGCCUCGCGUGCGGCGGGACGUGGGCUCUGGCCGCUGAAGAGGCUGGGAUGGGAAACCCUCCGGCUACGUCUACACGGGGCGCCCUACAGCAUGCAGCGGCGCGGCCCUUUGUCGGUCGGGGAGAGCGCGCCUGGCGCCAAAAUAAAACCACGGACGCCAGCACCGUUUGUUGGGCCGGGGUGGGUUUUUUCCACGCCUCCCCCGGCCGACAAAAGUGUUACCGACCAACGUGCAGCGUAGAGGUAGCCGAAGAGCGAGAGAGACUAGCGGAGAAGUUACACACAGACCGGUGAUGUUUGCAUGGCAAGCAACGAGAGUCUCUGAGAAGGGGGUGCCCUCUAAGAACACGAAGGCACUGUAUGAAUGACGCCUGCUGCCCCGUGCGCUGUCGCUGGGAGUGAAAGCGCAGCAUCCGUGGAUUGAGAGGAAUGUCAAUGAGAACUAACAAGGGCCUCGGGCAUUAGGAGCCAGAAUCUGCCCUGAGUGUAUAUGCAAAGUAAAUGUGACAAAGGCAGGAGUUAUUCCGAACUUUCAUUGCUGUCACUGAACUGUAGGAUUGGCACAUUUUGCUUCCCUCUUUAGGAAUGAGAAGUACAAAGUCCUAAGGGACUCUAGUCUCUUGGGGGAAAGUGAGGUCACAGAGAAAAUGAGUGACACAACUCAAUUCUGGUCCCACAAGCCUGGUCUACACUACAGAAAUUUACCAUUCAAACCUCCUAGAACCCUGGCCGUGGUGGAUUCUUCAUCACUGACCAUUUUAAAAUCAAGAUUGGAUGUUUUUCUACAAGAUCUGCUCUAGAAAUUAUUUUGGGGCAGUUCUCUGGCCUGUGCUAUACAGGAGGUCAGACUAGAUGAUCACCGUUGUCCCUUCUCGCCUUGGAAUCGAUGAAUCUUGGAAAAACGCUUAUUGACACAAAAGCGCUUGAGCUGCUUUCACAGUCAGGGAUAGGCUUGAUUUAUGCAAGUCUGAGGACACUCUGAAUGGUUUCUGAGCUACUGCAGACAUGGACCAAUUAAAUGGUUCAGCUAGUCCUCCUGCUACUGUCCCACAAUGCAUUCUUGGUCCUUCACAGUCUCCCAGAAUCCACUGCUUCUCUUAUGUGUCGGAUAGGUAGGCAGCCUGAAGCCAUUGCCACUGAAACAGUUUAGAAUGGCGUCUUGUGGAUUCAGGGCAAUCCUGCACUGGUUCUUCAACCAGAUCAGCAUGCCUGGUUGUUGAAUUCACUGAACUGUGCUUAAGGCAGUCCUGUCCAAUUACAAGUAGCUCAGCUCUCCUAUAGACAGUGCACCAGCAAAGAGAGAAUUAAGUCCAAGCCCGAGGAAGCAGCAAAGAUCCACUCAUCUAAGAGAGAACAUCCCCAGUUACUUUUAAAAUACUCUUUGAACAAGCUGCUCUUAAAAGAAGUUGCCAGCUCCUCUCUGUGCAUGGCUUAAAACACAACAUUGGGUUCAUGGACUAUCCCAUAGGGCAGAUACAUUGUCCUGAGCCCUUAGGCACUCCUUAAUUUGGGAUGUAAGAGAUCAUGAACAGACAACUUUGUAAAGGAAUAUUAGUUAUUUGUAUGACAGCACCUGGGGCCCCAUUGUGUACACACACCAAGCAAGAGAAUCACUAUAAUGAAGAGAUCACGGUCUAAAUAGACAGGACAGGCAAAGAGUGGGAGAGGAAACUGAAGCACAGCUGGGGAGUGACUUCCCCAAGUUACAGUUGUCUAUAUUUUGCCUAUACUUUAUGAAUUUGUGACAUGGAGGCCAUAGGUCAAAUCCACUGUACUUCUAGGGGAAAUUAAUUUUCCUGAAGCAGCUGUAAACACCCAGGCUAGCCUGAAACGUUCUCAAGCUGUGGUCUGCAGAAUAAAAUAUGCAGAAUAAAAGCAACGGGAUUAGGGAGACUCCUCUCCUGAGAAGAUUGCUGUCAUGAAAUGCAAAAGUCUGACAACUCAGAAUCCAAUGCCAACUCUCCAUCAAGGGUGUCCAGAUUACACCGAUAACUUGUCUUUAGACAGUUGAUUCGUGCCAGCCAGGCCGGGAUGACCUCUCCACCACUAGUAGCUAGCAGCUGGGGUCCUUGGAGGAUCUAUUUUUGGACCAUUGCCAUUUGUCUUGUAGGCUGAUGGCUUUGAUGCUUAUCAUUUUUCUGCAGCCAGCAGCCCAUCUUGUUUGCUGGUGGUGACUCCCCAUUAGAUAAUAAUUCACCCUACUGCCCCACCCCCACUUGCCUGGCACACCAGUUUUCACUCGUACCAGGAGCCCUUUGAAAUGGCACAUCAAGUGCCUACCUUCACUUAUGGCACUGGGUCCGAUACACCAUAUGUAGGGGCAGUGCAGGCCAGGGCAUUAAUCGAGUACAUUGCUUGGUAUAAAUCCCCGGGGGUGGUUUGUGGGGACACUCCCCAUUGACAGCAUUUGAUGCAAGUGAUUCAGAAAUGAACCUAGCCAUCAAGCUUCCUUCAGGGUGGAGAACCCUUCAUUAGAGGGGGCAGAAAGGUCCAGUGGUUAGUGUGUGCGUGAGUGAGAAGGCAGGACAUAUAACAAGAGAGACUCAGACACAGAGGCAGCAAGAAAACCAAACAGUAGCUUGCAAGCAUGCCGUGAUGCCCGGGAGAAGCCUAGAAAGAGGUUCUGGGUUGGGCGUGCUGGCUGAAAAGAAGCUGGGGCCUGUAAGCUAAGCAGCUAUUCCUUUCGCCUUCAGUUCUGUUUGCGGAAGCAGGUCUUUGUACAUUUCUUGUAACUAAACAAGACUGCACCAAAGAAAACACCAGCCUUCAACUUGGCGCAGCCGCUUGGUUCGAAAGGGACACCACCACCACCAGUAUAAGUGAAAGGCGGAUCACACCAGCUCCUCAGCAGACAUGCUCACGUGUUUCCAUUUGUCAUAGAUAUAGGUAACCUUGCUGACAUAAAAUAAGGACACCCCACUCCUCUCUCAAAGACUGAAAGCUCAAAUCAGGCCCCAAAUCCUGGGUCGUUUGAGGGUCUGGAUGGGUCAUUUCCAUGCAGCACGUGCUUCCAGACAGGAAUGCCACCAAAAAUACAAAGUCUCUUCUGGAAGCUCUGACCAAGCCGGAACCAGCAUGUGCCAGGACUCAGACAAGAAAGCCCACCCUCACCUGAUUUCCAGCCAAAGAGGUUGGGAGAGUAGCCAAAAAUCUGGGUGUUUUUGGAGUUCCAGCCCAUUUUGUCCAUCCAUUUAUUUUUCUUUGAUGUUUGUAGAAGAUGGUGCAGGCCCCUUGUCCAUGCUGGUCUGUGCAAACACAUGGAAGGGAAGAGUAACCAUGUGACUGCCAGGGCGUGUUUCCCCCAAGGAGAGGUUGUCAGAGCGGGAUAAAGGUCUUUGUAUUUCAGGCUUCUGUCACCUUCCUUGUGGCAGUUGAGGGAACUAAGGGGUCCUGGAGUCUCUGACAUGGGUAGUGGCUCAAACCUGCCCUUUCCUUUUCUCCUUUGACAGUUAUAAUUACAAUGCCCUGUUUGUGGACACAGAGAUCUAUGUAUAGACACAGAGAGAGACCUACACCCAGACACGCACAGAGAGACCUCCGGAUGGACACGCACCUGUAGACAAGUGCAGGUUCACUGUAGCCACAGGUUCAUCAAUACCCUUGUGGGGAGAACUGAAAACGGAGUAACCGCACUGCCGCAUUGUUUCCUGGCUCCCAUGCAUUCUAGGCAGCUGUAAUUCCUACCCUUGGGGCUGGAAAACGCCUUCUGCUGAUCAAUAGCAUGCUCAGGCUUUGGUUGCAGCCCCCUGUGCAGCAAUUUCGAGCUGACCUCCAAGCCAUGCAGUAGUUUGAUUGUCACCCCCCACUGCUGGCAGAAUGGAAGCUGACAUACAACUGUGAACCCGUGUUAACCUCACUCUCUCCUGCACGCCUACAAGCAGCAGCUGGGGAAUUUUUUCUCAGGCACAGCGUAGUGGCACGGGACACAUACAGCAACAUCAGUGCUUUCUCAGCACGCAACUCUGUGCCGACGUGGAUGCACCCUGGCAUCAUUAAUUAUACAGUAAUGCUACUGAGGUUUAAUGUAUUUAAACUUACCAGCUCCACAGGAACUUGGCUGGCCAGCCACCUUCCCCCUUCAUCAUCUAGGAAGCAGACUCUCAGCCCCUCCAGAGACCCUCCAAACGGGUCUUUUGCGGCAUGCAGGGCUUAAUUUGUGCCAGGACUUGCCAGGGCUGAGCCCCAGCACCUCUGCGGUUGGCGCAUCAGUUAUGAAACUAAAAAAACUGCUUGAGCCCCAGCACAUCUUUCAUUACAAAUUAAGCACUGGCGCCAUGGCCAGAAGUCAGACCAAGGGGGCAAACGGGGAACAAUUUUCAGAGUGCUGGAGCCCUCAGAGAGCACCUUGCUAGCCACCCCAGGUCAAGCACCCUUGCUGACCACAGCUGUGGCAGCAUGGGCUGGGGAGAGAGGCAGGCAAAUGCAGCCCUCUUCACCCUCUUAUUUCAUGCAGAGAACCAGCUGCUGGUUUGAUUGCUGCUGAUCUCCGCUCAUGCAAUAGUGUCAGCUGCAGGAAUUAUUACAGUGGUGGGGUAGCAUCCAGAGGCCCCAGCUGAGAUCAGGACCCCAUUGUGGCAGAUGCUGUGCAGAUGCAGAGACAGUCCCUGUCCCAGACUGCUCCCAGCCUAGCCAGGAUGGACAAUGCGUGGGAGGGGAAACAGAAGAAAUGAUUUGCCCAGAAGCUUGGUGGCAGUGCAAGGACUAGAACUCACAGCUCCUGACUUCCAGGCCGGUGCCUGUUCCAUUAGACCCCAUUGCUUCUCAUUCUCGGUCAGGUGUUACUCUCUUUGUAAAGCUCCAUGCGCAUC
Molecule: long non-coding RNA, 5046 nt
Organism: Chelonia mydas (Green sea turtle)
Lineage: Eukaryota; Metazoa; Chordata; Testudines; Cheloniidae
Exons: 2
Source: RefSeq, a predicted model, not a curated record